GCGGUUGUGGUGGAAUGGUAGACACGCAGCGUUGAGGUCGCUGUGGCAAAUUAUUGCCGUGGAAGUUCAAAUCUUCUCAUCCGCACCA
RNAcentral lists this transfer RNA (88 nucleotides) under Anaplasmataceae bacterium. RNAcentral describes it as "tRNA-Leu". It matches the Rfam family "tRNA". From Rfam's summary of the family: Transfer RNA (tRNA) molecules are approximately 80 nucleotides in length. Their secondary structure includes four short double-helical elements and three loops (D, anti-codon, and T loops). Further hydrogen bonds mediate the characteristic L-shaped molecular structure. tRNAs have two regions of fundamental functional importance: the anti-codon, which is responsible for specific mRNA codon recognition, and the 3' end, to which the tRNAs corresponding amino acid is attached (by aminoacyl-tRNA synthetases). tRNAs cope with the degeneracy of the genetic code in two manners: having more than one tRNA (with a specific anti-codon) for a particular amino acid; and 'wobble' base-pairing, i.e. permitting non-standard base-pairing at the 3rd anti-codon position. Lineage: Bacteria; Pseudomonadati; Pseudomonadota; Alphaproteobacteria; Rickettsiales; Anaplasmataceae. The record is from RNAcentral.